This 159-nucleotide ribosomal RNA is filed under the name Vitis vinifera (wine grape). RNAcentral's name for it is "5.8S ribosomal RNA". It matches the Rfam family "5.8S ribosomal RNA". From Rfam's summary of the family: 5.8S ribosomal RNA (5.8S rRNA) is a component of the large subunit of the eukaryotic ribosome. Lineage: Eukaryota; Viridiplantae; Streptophyta; Magnoliopsida; Vitales; Vitaceae. The record is from RNAcentral. RNAcentral also lists the same sequence under 44 other names.
GACUCUCGGCAACGGAUAUCUAGGCUCUCGCAUCGAUGAAGAACGUAGCAAAAUGCGAUACUUGGUGUGAAUUGCAGAAUCCCGUGAAUCAUCGAGUCUUUGAACGCAAGUUGCGCCCGAAGCCAUUAGGCCGAGGGCACGCCUGCCUGGGCGUCACGC